UGUCCUACGGGGGGCAGCAGUGGGGAAUAUUGGACAAUGGGGGCAACCCUGAUCCAGCCAUGCCGCGUGAGUGAUGAAGGCCCUAGGGUUGUAAAGCUCUUUUGUGCGGGAAGAUAAUGACGGUACCGCAAGAAUAAGCCCCGGCUAACUUCGUGCCAGCAGCCGCGGUAAUACGAAGGGGGCUAGCGUUGCUCGGAAUCACUGGGCGUAAAGGGUGCGUAGGCUGGUCUUUAAGUCAGAGGUGAAAUCCUGGAGCUCAACUCCAGAACGGCCUUUGAUACUGAGGAUCUUGAGGGCGGGAGAGGUGAGUGGAACUGCGAGUGUAGAGGUGAAAUUCGUAGAUAUUCGCAAGAACACCAGUGGCGAAGGCGGCUCACUGGCCCGAUACUGACGCUGAGGCACGAAAGCGUGGGGAGCAAACAGGAUUAGAUACCCGAGUAGUCUU
Molecule: ribosomal RNA, 445 nt
Filed under: uncultured Bradyrhizobiaceae bacterium
Lineage: Bacteria; Pseudomonadati; Pseudomonadota; Alphaproteobacteria; Hyphomicrobiales; Nitrobacteraceae
Description: bacterial SSU rRNA
Rfam family: Bacterial small subunit ribosomal RNA
Source: RNAcentral